UACGGAGGGUGCAAGCGUUAUCCGGAUUCACUGGGUUUAAAGGGUGCGUAGGUGGGUUGGUAAGUCAGUGGUGAAAUCCCCGAGCUUAACUUGGGAACUGCCAUUGAUACUAUUAAUCUUGAAUACUGUGGAGGUUAGCGGAAUAUGUCAUGUAGCGGUGAAAUGCUUAGAUAUGACAUAGAACACCAAUUGCGAAGGCAGCUAGCUACACAAAUAUUGACACUGAGGCACGAAAGCGUGGGGAUCAAACAGG
RNAcentral lists this ribosomal RNA (253 nucleotides) under uncultured bacterium. Its description in RNAcentral is "partial 16S ribosomal RNA". It matches the Rfam family "Bacterial small subunit ribosomal RNA", at positions 524 to 776 of the family's 1533-position model. The record is from RNAcentral.